This 1308-nucleotide long non-coding RNA is filed under the name Parus major (Great Tit). RNAcentral describes it as "lncRNA (ENSPMJG00000004417.1)". The record is from RNAcentral. Lineage: Eukaryota; Metazoa; Chordata; Aves; Passeriformes; Paridae.
GGCGGUGGCCAGGGCCAGCGGCAGGUCGCGGCGGGGCGGCGGGCGGCGGAAGGCGUCGUUGAGGAGGAGGAGGAGGGUGAAGACGAAGGACAAGGCCCAGGCGGACAAGCAGCCGUCACCCUCGCCAGGGUUCCAAUAGCCGGGGGCCGCCGCCAGCGCCAGCGCCAGGAGGGCACUGAGAGCCUGGACACAGCGGAGAGGGGACGGGGGGCGGCACGGAGGGGGCAUCCUGGGGGCUGCGGAGAGAUGGGGAGGUCAUCAGAGGGGUUUUGGGGCUGGGGGCUGCUGGGGGGGCUUGGGGAUGUUGGCAGAGAGCAGCACAGCAGGGGCAUCCCAGAGGCUGGGGAGAAAUCUGGGUUAGUGGGGUGCUGGGUGAGGGGAUUCCCGGUGUUCGGGGGAUCCCGGGAAUGCCGGGGGUCACCAGGAGGGGGUCCCGGGGGGGCUUGAGACUACUGAGGGGACACGGGCGGCACAGCAGGGGCUGUGGAGAAAUGGGGCUGUUGGGGUCAUUGGGGGAUUCCCGGUGUUUGGGGGAUCCCGGGAAUGCCGGGGAACACCAGGAGGGGGUCCCAGGCAUGCCGGGGGUGGGGGCGCUCAGGGCUGUGCCCAUAUAAGGCUCUGGAGAAUCUUCCUCCCCCUCCUCCUCCUCCUCCCUCCGCCCCCCCAUGCUGGGCGCUGGUCACAUCCUGUGGGUGAAGGAGGGGGGGGAGGUCCCGGGAUCCCGGGGGAGACCCCAGAGGGGACCCCAAGGGUCCGGGGGAGGGGGCUGGGCUGGGGCACCCCAGGACCCCCCACCCUGCGUGCCCCUUCCCCACAGCAAGACCCCAGGGUGGGUCCCGGCACUCACCCGAGCGGGUUCGGGUUUUUCCGGGCGAGUUCGGGUGGGUUCUGGGCUGAGUUCGGGUCCCUUCAGGAGGGUUCGGGUCCCCUCAGGAGGGUUCGGGUCCCCUCAGGAGAGGUUCGGAUCCCCUCAGGCGGGUUCGGGACCCCUCAGCCGGGUUCGGGACCCCUCAGGGAGGUUCGGAUCCCCUCAGGGAGGUUCCGGUCCCUUCAGGCGGGCUCGGAUCCCCUCAGGCGGGCUCGGAUCCCCUCAGGGAGGUUCGGCUUCCCUCGGGCGGGCUCGGGUCCCCUCGUGCGGGCUCGGGUCCCCCCGGUUCGGGACGCUCCCGGUUCGGGACAGUUCGGGUGUGUCCGGAGCGGUUCGGGUCCCCUCGGGCGGGUCCCCUUGGGCGGGUUCGGGUCUCUCCGCCGGGCCGGUCCCAGCCGUGUCACUCCGGGCGGUGCCCACCGGGGCGUGGCCAGGGUGUG